Molecule: ribosomal RNA, 603 nt
Filed under: Staphylococcus sp. HMSC14C01
Lineage: Bacteria; Bacillati; Bacillota; Bacilli; Caryophanales; Staphylococcaceae
Description: bacterial LSU rRNA
Rfam family: Bacterial large subunit ribosomal RNA
Source: RNAcentral
CAGAAUGGUUGGAAAUCAUUCAUAGAGUGUAAAGGCAUAAGGGAGCUUGACUGCGAGACCUACAAGUCGAGCAGGGUCGAAAGACGGACUUAGUGAUCCGGUGGUUCCGCAUGGAAGGGCCAUCGCUCAACGGAUAAAAGCUACCCCGGGGAUAACAGGCUUAUCUCCCCCAAGAGUUCACAUCGACGGGGAGGUUUGGCACCUCGAUGUCGGCUCAUCGCAUCCUGGGGCUGUAGUCGGUCCCAAGGGUUGGGCUGUUCGCCCAUUAAAGCGGUACGCGAGCUGGGUUCAGAACGUCGUGAGACAGUUCGGUCCCUAUCCGUCGUGGGCGUAGGAAAUUUGAGAGGAGCUGUCCUUAGUACGAGAGGACCGGGAUGGACAUACCUCUGGUGUACCAGUUGUCGUGCCAACGGCAUAGCUGGGUAGCUAUGUAUGGACGGGAUAAGUGCUGAAAGCAUCUAAGCAUGAAGCCCCCCUCAAGAUGAGAUUUCCCAACUUCGGUUAUAAGAUCCCUCAGAGAUGAUGAGGUUAAUAGGUUCGAGGUGGAAGCGUGGUGACACGUGGAGCUGACGAAUACUAAUCGAUCGAAGACUUAAUCAAUUU